RNAcentral lists this ribosomal RNA (253 nucleotides) under uncultured bacterium. Its description in RNAcentral is "partial 16S ribosomal RNA". It matches the Rfam family "Bacterial small subunit ribosomal RNA", at positions 524 to 776 of the family's 1533-position model. The record is from RNAcentral.
GACGAACCGAGCGAACGUUGUUCGGAAUCACUGGGCUUAAAGGGCGCGUAGGCGGGCUGUCAAGUCUGGGGUGAAAUCCCGCGGCUCAACCGUGGAACUGCCUCAGAUACUGACGGCCUCGAGGGAGAUAGGGGCGAGCGGAACUAAUGGUGGAGCGGUGAAAUGCGUUGAUAUCAUUAGGAACUCCGGUGGCGAAGGCGGCUCGCUGGAUCUUUUCUGACGCUGAGGGACGAAAGCUAGGGGAGCGAACGGG